GUGCUCGCUCUGGCAGCACAUAUACUAAAAUUGGAACGACACAGAGAAUAUUAGCAUGGCCCCUGUGCAAGCAUGAUAUACAAAUUUGUGAAGCGUUCCCUAUUUUU
Macaca fascicularis (crab-eating macaque) is the source of this 107-nucleotide small nuclear RNA. The record is from Ensembl. Lineage: Eukaryota; Metazoa; Chordata; Mammalia; Primates; Cercopithecidae.